ACGGGGAAGAGAGAAAGGAAGAUGAAAAUAAGUGUGUGAAGGAAGCAAGGGAAGGAGACAGGAGAGAGCUCCUGAAAGAAAAGAGACUAAGUGCAGAAGAAAAUAUGACACACAUGGAGAAACAAAUGAGAGAGCUGGAGGUCAAAGAUUCCUCCAUCUUCUCAGCUGGUGCUGAGGUCAAACAGACCCAGUGCAAAGAUGUCUCCAUGGUUACUGCAACUGAGUCAAAGACUCUGAACCCUCAGAAGGACCAGCCAGCAAAGUGCAAAGAAUUCUCUGUGUUUUCCACGAGCAGUCAAGGUG
Coregonus clupeaformis (lake whitefish) is the source of this 303-nucleotide long non-coding RNA. RefSeq lists it as uncharacterized. The transcript has 4 exons. NCBI's taxonomy places the organism in Eukaryota, Metazoa, Chordata, Actinopteri, Salmoniformes, Salmonidae. The record is from RefSeq and is a predicted model, not a curated record.